Molecule: ribosomal RNA, 476 nt
Filed under: uncultured bacterium
Lineage: Bacteria
Description: bacterial SSU rRNA
Rfam family: Bacterial small subunit ribosomal RNA
Source: RNAcentral
GAGCGAAUCACUGAGGAGCUUGCUCCCNGGUGGUAAGCGGCGGACCGGUGAGUAAACGUGGGCAACUGCCUGUAAGACUGGGAUACUUCGGGAAACCGGAGCUAAUACCGGAUAAUUCUUUUCCUCUCAUGAGGAAAAGCUGAAAGUCGGUUUCGGCUGACACUUACAGAUGGGCCCGCGGCGCAUAAGCUAGUUGGUGAGGUAACGGCUCACCAAUGCGACGAUGCGUAUCCGAUCUGAGAGGGUGAUCGGCCACUCUGGGACUGAGACACGGUCCAGACUCCUACGGGAGGCAGCAGUAGGGAAUCUUCCACAAUGGACGAAAGUCUGAUGGAGCAUCGCCGCGUGAGCGAAGAAUGCCUUCGGGUCGUAAAGCUCUGUUGUCAGGGAAGAACAAGUAUCGGAGUAACUGCCGGUACCUUGACGGUACCUGACCAGAAAGCCACGGCUAACUACGUGCCAGCAGCCGCGGUAAU